RNAcentral lists this ribosomal RNA (301 nucleotides) under uncultured bacterium. RNAcentral's name for it is "partial 16S ribosomal RNA". It matches the Rfam family "Bacterial small subunit ribosomal RNA", at positions 509 to 808 of the family's 1533-position model. The record is from RNAcentral.
CAGCCGCCGCGGGAAUACGAAGGGUGCAAGCGUUAAUCGGAAUUACUGGGCGUAAAGCGUGCGUAGGCGGUUUGCUAAGUCUGUUGUGAAAUCCCCGGGCUCAACCUGGGAAUGGCAAUGGAUACUGGCAAGCUAGAGUGUGUCAGAGGAUGGUGGAAUUCCCGGUGUAGCGGUGAAUGCGUAGAGAUCGGGGGGAACAUCAGUGGCGAAGGCGGCCAUCUGGGACAACACUGACGCUGAGGCACGAAAGCGUGGGGAGCAAACAGGAUUAGAUACCCCGGUAGUCCCUGUCUCUUAUACA